Molecule: RNA transcript, 1183 nt
Organism: Camellia sinensis
Lineage: Eukaryota; Viridiplantae; Streptophyta; Magnoliopsida; Ericales; Theaceae
Gene name: 26S rRNA (cytosine-C(5))-methyltransferase NOP2B-like
Source: RefSeq, a predicted model, not a curated record
UGACAGAGUUGCAAAAGCUUGUAAGUAAUUUAUUUAUUCUGUCAAAGUGAUCUAAAGUUCGAGUUCACAAACUUCACAGAAGGAAGAAAAAAUGUGAAGAGAAUGUUGUGAAGGACAUGGAGAUGAACAAUUUCAAGCUCUGUAUGGAGAACAUAUCACAAGGACGGGAGUUGGCUGGUGUUCUAUUGAACAGAGGGGUAAACUUAGACUCGUUAAGCAAGCAGUCAAAAGUAAGAUUUACUUUGCUGAUAAAAAAAGAGAGUUGGACUUCUUGUGUAUGACUCACAAGUUUCGAUUGGUGCCACUCCUGAAUACAUGGCUGUUUAGUACACGAUGCAAAGUGCAAGCUCCUUUUUGCCAGUGAUGGCUCUUGCACCUCAAUAGAAGGAAAGAAUUGAUGACGUAACUGAACCAUUUCACAAAGACAUAUUUGCUUGCUGUUAAAUCUGAAAAAUAUGAAUUUUGAUUUUGAUUUAAAAGCACACGUGUGCCGCUCAAGUGGUGAAGAUAUUAUUUCCCAGAACAAAGGUCUGGGGUUUAGAUCUCAUUCACCUCAAUAUAUAAUCUUAUGUAGAUAGAAUAAAAGUUGAUAAUUAAAAAGUAGAAACCAAAACCACAUUUAACUGCCAUACUGAUCAUGUUCCCUGUCAUUGUUCCUGUGUAGCUAAGAAAGAGAAGGACAUCUUGAGGGACUCAUAGUCUCAAACUAACCAGAGUAAUUUCUUUUCCCUUUUUUUUUUUGUUCUCUGUUUUUGUUGUAGAAAAUGACUCUGUAAGCAAUUACCCUAAAGUAUGUCUCCAUUAUAAGAUAUCAGAAUUUUAGUUGUUAAGAUUUUCUUCCUUGACAACAAUGCUUUUACUUCUUUGUUUCAUUAAUUGAACUUGGUAUUGGGAUCGUUCUUUUUUAAAGUCACUGCUAUGAUAGUUGGAUUGGCAUAAAAAACACACACAGAGAAGGUAGCUAAAGUUGUUAUUAUUAAGAGAUGAAUUUGAAUUGACAAAUAUAUCCAAACCAUUCUUUCGAAUAUAAUUUCUAUUUAAAUUUUAUAGUACCCUCAGUGGAUGGUGUAGUGACAUGGAACUGAAUAGUUUUAUUAUUAUUGUUAUUAUUAUUUUUUUUGAGGAAUUUUGAACUCCGCCCCUGAUUUAGUUAUUGUUAUUAAGAGAUUAAUUCAAAUUUAUA